Capsicum annuum is the source of this 2360-nucleotide RNA transcript. RefSeq lists it as uncharacterized. The record is from RefSeq and is a predicted model, not a curated record. Lineage: Eukaryota; Viridiplantae; Streptophyta; Magnoliopsida; Solanales; Solanaceae. The transcript is spliced from 8 exons.
AAGCACCUUGUAGUGUAAGCUACACCAUUAAUCUUAAAUAUUACUCUUUUAUAUAAGCAAACAAGCGGAGGACCAUCACAGUAAAAUUGAGUUGUACUAUAUGCUUAUUGGAGGAAUCAAGGAUAAUUUUGUUAUAGUGCCAUUUUAUGGCAUUCUUACAAUGAAACACGUGUUUUAAAAGCUUCCUGCAGAACAAAAAAAGAGUAAAACUCAAUUUUUUAUUACCAUUUGCACACCAAACACUGAGCUAAAUACUCUGUUUAGUAGGUAGAUAACCAAUCAUAUGUAAAUUUUCCAAGUGAUAAAUUCACCUCAAGAACACUGACGACUGUUCUGCAAUUAGGUUACUGCUGCACACCGACGAUUGGGUUCAAUCUUACUUCACUUAUUUUCUUUUUGGAACAACAAUUUUAUCGUAGCUGGGUCAAUAUUUUGAUGCUUUAUCAGUACUUUCGCUAAGUUCACUUCAAAUUAAUGAUUAUGCAUCUCUAUUUUGAAUUUUUUUGGAUGCCUAAUCGGAAUAUUGAACAUGCAUGUUCUUUUUUCAAUAAUGGUGUCAAUUUCGUAACGACCGAUGCUUUAGUUAUACAAAUUCUUCAAAGGAAUUCGAUGACAGUGCUGCUUGUGAAACUCCAAUUCAUGUUAAUACCAAGGCAAGAAAAUCCCGGGUGACAAUCUCGAAGAGGACACUCAAAAGAUGAGUAUGCUUAAGUUUUGUUGAUUGGUCUUAAUGUUAAAUUAAAUUUUACUCUAUUGGUGCAAAGUCUAUUAUCUAUAAUAAAAUGUUCUUCAGUUGUUUCACUAAUUUCCUCAAUAAUACAAAUAGUUGAUUUGAUUUCUUCUUGGUAUUUUUACACUAUGUCGGGCUCGACUCUUCAAUUCUAAAAGAUAAAUUUUUAUGCCUUCUUUAAUGUUUGUCAUUGAUUUGCUUUCUUUCCAGGCUAAUGUUAUUCAAAGAGAACCAAAUUGCUUUCCUUCAGAGAAUAGAUUGAAUGUUGAUGGUGUCAAUGAUUGCUCUCACCUUAUUGCGGAGAUGAUUGGACUGGGAAGUGAUUCAAAGUUUUUUCAAGCCGGUAAAGAAUUUCACUCUUAGAUAUAUUAUCUUUCUCUUCUGACUAACAGGUGCGCACCAUACUAGAUAUUAAUUGUUGAUUUGGUAGCUUUGGUGCCCGCUUACUCUCACUAAAAUUGAUGUCUUUUUGUGUGGCAACAUAUGAGCCAUCUUGAGAGAGGACUUUCAGCUAUCAUUGGCAGUUUUAUUUUGAAACAGCCUCCACUUCCAUCAUUGUCUUAUGACAUGGUUCACUGUGCUAAAUGUGGAAUCAUUUUGGAUAGAAAAGGUAUUGCUACAGUUGUGCUUUGAGGAAGUAUGGUUGCACUCUAUGUUCUCUAUACGUGGCUUGGGUCAUAUGGUGAAAUUAACACACUUCAAGGGUGAAUUGCAUGUCACUACUGAAGACAAGGACUUGGAGCAACAGGAUGAAGAUUCAACUACCAAUAAGAUAAUUGCUUCAUGAAAUUUGCGGCUUCAGUUGGAUAAAACAUUUGCUAUUUGUUUCGCUUCUCGGUAAUAGUGUUGGAAAGUGAAUUAUAGAUGAUGACUUAAAUAUUUGAUCUCUCCAAUGAAUUCUUCUAAGUUUCAUAGAGGUUUACUUUUGUCAUGGAUCAUGUCAAUCACUCAUCUAUUGCUACAUUUAGGUUGAGAUUCCUUCGGAAACAAUCUCUCUACCUCCACAAGUCCUCCUACAUUUGAACUAUCUUUUGGGGUGUGAGUUAGGCCUAAAGUGUAAUUUAACAUGGCAUCAGUUUCGGACUUCCAUGCGGAUAUGUGAAAUACUCCCGGUCUAACUGUGCAUGCUCUGCAAAAUAGUGAAUCCUUGGAACCAUGGAUAAAGCACAUCUUGAUCUAGGCGUGAGGGGGUGAUGAAUAGAAUGAUCCCACAUCGUACCAGGAAUGGAGGCCAUAAAGAAGCAUCUUCCUGUCUCUAGGCAAGAAAGAGAAGAAGAGCUUAAAAAAAUUAUUGUGAGAUUCGAGGAAGAGAUUUAUACUGCUGCUACAAGUCAUAUAUGUAGUCAUGUCUCUGGCGUUUUCAUUGCUACAAGAUUUUAGAAUCAUUCAUUGCACAAGAAUGAGUUGGAUUUUGCUCAUGGUGUUAAGACAGAUGAAGUGUUAGGGUGGGUUAUGAACUUUUUUUCCGAACUAUGGAUAAGAAAAGUUGUAAUUAAUAAACUACAAUACUUUAAACUGUGAAUAUAAGAGAAUGGUAUGACUACUGCACGUUUGAGCUUUAUUGUUAUGGAUAAGUUGUAAUGGACUGUGAUACUGUUGACUCAGUUAUAAUUCUUUUACACACUUUCUA